This 699-nucleotide ribosomal RNA is filed under the name uncultured bacterium. RNAcentral's name for it is "bacterial SSU rRNA". It matches the Rfam family "Bacterial small subunit ribosomal RNA", at positions 103 to 817 of the family's 1533-position model. The record is from RNAcentral.
CGGGUGAGUAACGCGUGGGUAACCUGCCAUAUACAUGGGGAUAACACUUAGAAAUAGGUGCUAAUACCGCAUAAGCGCACAUGGCCGCAUGGCCAGGUGUGAAAAACUCCGGUGGUAUAUGAUGGACCCGCGUCUGAUUAGCUAGUUGGUGAGGUAACGGCCCACCAAGGCGACGAUCAGUAGCCGGCCUGAGAGGGUGGACGGCCACAUUGGGACUGAGACACGGCCCAAACUCCUACGGGAGGCAGCAGUGGGGGAUAUUGGACAAUGGGGGGAACCCUGAUCCAGCGACGCCGCGUGAGUGAAGAAGUAUCUCGGUAUGUAAAGCUCUAUCAGCAGGGAAGAAAGAAAUGACGGUACCUGAGUAAGAAGCCCCGGCUAACUACGUGCCAGCAGCCGCGGUAAUACGUAGGGGGCAAGCGUUAUCCGGAAUUACUGGGUGUAAAGGGAGCGUAGACGGUGAUGUAAGUCUGGAGUGAAAGGCGGGGGCCCAACCCCCGGACUGCUCUGGAAACUAUAUGACUGGAGUGCAGGAGAGGUGAGCGGAAUUCCUAGUGUAGCGGUGAAAUGCGUAGAUAUUAGGAGGAACACCAGUGGCGAAGGCGGCUCACUGGACUGUAACUGACGUUGAGGCUCGAAAGCGUGGGGAGCAAACAGGAUUAGAUACCCUGGUAGUCCACGCCGUAAACGAUGAUCACU